RNAcentral lists this ribosomal RNA (497 nucleotides) under uncultured bacterium. RNAcentral describes it as "partial 16S ribosomal RNA". It matches the Rfam family "Bacterial small subunit ribosomal RNA", at positions 28 to 507 of the family's 1533-position model. The record is from RNAcentral.
GAUGAACGCUGGCGGCGUGCCUAAUACAUGCAAGUCGAGCGAACGGACGAGAAGCUUGCUUCUCUGACGUUAGCGGCGGACGGGCGAGUAACACGUGGAUAAUCCACCUAUAAGACUGGGAUAAUUUCGGGAAACCGGAGCUAAUACCGGACGAUAUUUUGAAUCGCAUGGUUCAUAAGUGAAAGACGGUCUUGCUGUCACUUAUAGAUGGAUCCGCGCUGCAUUAGCUAGUUGGUAAGGUAACGGCUUACUAAGGCGACGAUGCAUAGCCGACCUGAGAGGGUGGUCGGCCGCACUGGAUCUGAGGCACGGUCCAGACUCCUGCGGGAGGCCGCAGUCCGGAAUCUUCCGCAAUGGGCGCGAGCCUGACGGAGCAACACCGCGUGCGUGAUAACAGUCUUCCGAUCGUAAUCCUCUGUUAUGGGGGGGGAACAUCUGUGUACGUUACUGUGCACGUCGUGACGGUACCUAAUCAGAAAGCCACGGCUAACUACGUG